Cervus hanglu yarkandensis (Yarkand deer) is the source of this 103-nucleotide small nuclear RNA. The record is from Ensembl. Lineage: Eukaryota; Metazoa; Chordata; Mammalia; Artiodactyla; Cervidae.
GUGAUCACUUCAGCAGCACAUAUACUAAUACAGAUACGAUACAAAUAUUAGCAUGGCCCUGUGCAAGGAUUACAUGUAAAUAUGUGAAGCAUUCCAUAUUUUU